AGAGAAAGAUGGAGGCAAACAGGGCUCUUCCAUGACCAGGCGUGCUUGACCUCAGAGCUGCGACUCUUCCUUCUUCAGCGCAUUUAUGGAGAGCUUGCUACACGCAGGGCCUGGAGCUGCAGCCUGGGAGGGCGCCCCAUCUGGCGGGUAGAGUGCUUUGCCAUGUCUGGCCCGACUUCUCUACACCCUGUUCACAACUCACCCUGCAACCUUCGUUCCCCGUGUGCUGCCAGCGAUCCCCCUCCAGAAGCCACUCUGUCCGAGGUUCCAAUCACUCCCCUAUUGACACCUAUUCGUUCUCAGCGUUCAAAGAGUACUUCGAUUCCGUUGCUUUUGGGCGCAGAGACUUGAAUCCAGGACCUUACACAGGCAAGGAAUGCACGGCAUUGUGAGCUACCCACACACCCUAAUUGUUCCGCAGAUGAGGGUUCCCCCGCCCCCUGACGAUUUUAUCCCAGGGAGACUAUGAGUGUGUUGGCCUCUGGCGCCAACCUGCCCCCGGAUGUCAAACAUCUGUUCUCAAACUUGGAACCUGAGCUUACUUCUUCAUUCUCUGAUGUUAGACAAGCCGUUCUUCCCAACACCACCCCAAGCGUCCCACUCCCCUUUUUU
Molecule: long non-coding RNA, 612 nt
Filed under: Mus musculus (house mouse)
Lineage: Eukaryota; Metazoa; Chordata; Mammalia; Rodentia; Muridae
Description: long non-coding RNA chr19:3322329-3322941
Source: RNAcentral